UGUGACUAUUUUGCAUUUAUUCUUGUUUGUGAGGACUAUUGCUAUUGAAUAUCGGACUCAAGUGGGUGUACCGUGCUAAUAGCGAUGCCUAGGCCCAAGUACGCUCAAAUCCAUAUCUCCACGCCUUUGAAUGUUGUGAACGUACUGUGCUUUAAAUUUGUGGUAUAUUCUUGGCCUUAAUUAACUUGAACUUGAAGUUCCCCGGGUUCAAUUUCAAGCUCAAGUUAAUUAGGUAUUAUUAGACAAGGCCUUAUGUUGUACUUCGUCUUUUUAAAAUUAUGCUGAUUUGAGUUUUUGUGUAAUAUGUAGUGACUGUUUUGCAUUUGUUCUGUUUUGCGAGGACUAUUGCUAUUGACUACCAGAUUCAACUUCAAGCUCGAGUUAUUUAGGUACUUUUUGUUAGUACUUUAUGUUGUUUUUUAUUUAUAGCAUGAUUUUAAUGUUUGAGUAACGAGUAGUGACUGCUUUGCAUUUUUUUUGUUUUGCGAGGAGUAAUACUGUUGACUCAUCAGGUUUAUUUCAAUCUCCAAGUUAUUAGAGUAUUAGUAGUUUAUGGUCGUAUGUUGUACUUUGUCUUUUUUAAUUACGCUAAUGUUGAAUUUUGAGUAAUGAGUUUGACUAUUUUGCAAUUUAGUUGUUUUGGUGAGGACCUAUUGCUAUUGAAUAUCGACUCAAGUGGGUGUACCGUUCUAAUAGCGAUGCCUAGGCCCAAGUACGCUCAAAUACAUAUUCUCACGACUUGAAUGUUGUGGUACGUAACUGUGGCUUUAAAUUUUGUAUAUUUAUCUUGGGCCUUAAUUAACUUGAACUUGAAGUUCCCCGGGUUCAAUUUCAAGCUCAAGUUAAUUAGGUAUUGUUAGACAAGGCCUUAUGUUGUAAUUUGUCUUUUUAAAAUUAUGCUGAUUUGAGUUUUUGUGUAAUAUGUAGUGACUGUUUUGCAUUUGUUCUGUUUUGUGAGGACUAUUGCUAUUGACUACCAGAUUCAACUUCAAGCUCGAGUUAUUUAGGUACUUUUUGUUUGUACUUUAUGUUUUUUAUUUAUAGCAUAUUUUAAUGUUUGAGUAACGUGGUAGUGACUGCUUUGAAUUUUUUGUUUUGCGGAGGACUAAUAUGUUGACUAUCGGGUUUAAUUUCAAUUCUCAAAGUUAUUAGGGUAAUUAGUUAGUUAUGGCCGUAUGUUGUACUUUGUUUUUUCACAUUAUUGCUAAUUGAAUUUUUGGAGUAAUGAGUUGUGACUUAUUUUGGCAUUUAUUUUGUUGUAGUACGGACUAUUGAUAUGACUAUCGUGACUCAAGUGGUGUGUUACCGUGCUAAUAGCGAUGCCUAGGGGCCAAGUACUCUCAAACAUUAUAUCCUCGGCCUUUGGAAUGUUGUGGUUCUUAAGUAACCUGAACUUGAAGUUCCCCGGGUUCAAUUUCCAGCUCAAAGUUAUUAGUUAUUAUUAGGGCAAGGCCUUAUGUUGUACUUUGUCUUUUUAAAAUUAUGCUGAUGUGAGUUUUUGUGUAAUAUGUAGCGAUGUUUUGAUUUGUUCGUUUGCGAGGGACUAUUGCUAUUGACUACGGAUCAACUUCAACGGCUCGAGUUUUUAGGUACUUUUUGUUAGACUUUAUGUGUUUGAUUUAUAGCAUCAUGAUUUUAAGUUUGAGUAACGAGUGAGUGGAAUGCUUUGCAUUUUUUUGUUUUGCGCAGGGAGUAAUUAAUGUUGACUAUCAGGUUUAAUUUCAAGCUCAAGUUAUUAGGGUAUUAGUAGGUUAUGGGACCGUAUUUGUACUUUGUCUUUUUCAAAUUAUGCUAAUUUGAAUUUUUGAGUAAUGAGUUGUGACUAUUUGCAUGUAAUUUGUUUAAGUGAGGACUAUUGCUAAUUGGACUAUUGGACUCAAGUUGGUUGUACCGUUGCUAAUAGGGAUGCCUAGGCCAAAAGUACUAUCAAUCAUAUCUCCGCGCCUUGGAAAUGGUGUGGUACGAACUGGUGGCUUUAAAUUUGGUAUAUUUUUUCUUGGGCCUUAAUUAACCUGAACUUGAAGUUCCCCGGGUUCAUUCAAGCUCAAGUAAUAGGUAUUAUUAGAUAAGGCCUUCUUAUGAGAUUUGUCUUUUUAAAAUUAUGUUGAUUUGAGUUUUUGUGUAAUAUGUAGUGACUGUUUUGCAUUUGUUCUGUUUUACGAGGACUAUUGCUAUUGAUUAUCGAACUCAACUUCAAUCUCGAGUUAUUUAGGUACUUUUUGUUAGUACUUUAUUUAUUUCAAAUUAUUUUUUUUGUUUUGCGAGGACUAAUACUGUUGACUAUCGGGUUUAAUUUUAAGCUCAAGUUAUUAGGGUAUUAGUAGUUAUGGCCGUAUGUUGUACUUUGUCUUUUCAAAAUUAUGCUAAUUUGAAUUUUGGAGUAAUGGAGUUGUGACCUAGUUGCAUUUAUUUUGUUUAGUGAGGACUAUUGCUAUGAACUAUCGUAACUCAAGUGGGCUUGAUACCGUGCUAUAACGAUAGCCUAGGCCCAAGGACUCUCAAUCCAUAUCUCCACGCCUUGAAUGUUGUGGUACGGAACGUGGCUUGAAAAUUUUUGUAUAUUUAUCUUGCGCCUUAAUUAAACUGGAACUUGAAGUUCACCGGGGUUCAAUUCAAGCUCAGUUAAUUAGGUAUUAUAGACCAAGGCCUUAUGUUGUAACUUUGUCUUUUUAAAUUAUUAUGUGAUGAGUUUUGUGUAAUAUGUAGUGGACUGUUUUGCCUUUGGUUUGUUUUCGGAGGACUAUGGCUAUUGACUACCGGGUUCACUUCAAUCUCGAGGUUAUUUAGGUACUUUUUGGUUAGUAUUUUAUGUGGUUUUUUAUUUAUAGCAUUGAUUUCUACUGUUUGAGUAACGAGUAAGUGACUCUUUGGGUGCAUUUUUUUGUUUUGCGAGGAGUAAUUAUGUGGACUAUCGGGUUAAUUUUCAAUCUCAAGUUAUUAGUGUAUUAGUAGUAUGCCCGUAGUAUGUUGUACUGUCUUUUCAAAUUAUUGCUAAUUUGAAUUUUUGGUAAUGAGUGUGACUAUUUUGCAUUAUUUUGUAUAGUGAGGACUAUUGCUAUUGACUAUCGGGACUCAAAGGGUUGUACGCGUUGAUAAUAGCGAUGCUAGGCCCAAAGUAGCCUCAAUUCCAUAUCUCCACGCCUUUGAAUGUUGUGUACGUAACUGUGCCUUUAAUUUGCUAAUUUGUCUUGGGCCUUAAUUAACCUUGAACUGAAGUUCCCCGGGUUCAAUUUCAAGCUUCACAGUUAAUAGGUAUAUGAAGACAAAAGGCCUUUUGUUGUACUUUGGGUUUUUUAAAAUUAUGCUGAUUUGAGUUUUUGUGUAAUAUGUAGGGGACUGUUUGGCAUUUGUUCUGUUUUGCGAGGAAUAUGCUAUUGACUACCGGAUGGAAUUCAACUUCUAAGCUCGAGUUAUUAGGUACCUUUUUGUUAGUACUUAUGUUGUUUUUUUUAUUUAUAGCAUGAUUUAAUGUUUGGAGUAAACGAGUAGUGAUGCUUUGCAUUUUUUUUGUUUUGCAGAGGAGUAAUAAGUUGACUAUCGGUUAAUUUCAAUCUCAAGUUAUUAGUGUAUAGUAGUUAUGGCCGUUUGUUGUACUUUGUCUUUUUCAAAUUAUGCUAAUUUGAAUUUUUGGGUGGUAAUGAGUUGUGGAACUAUUUUGCAUUAUUUUGGUUGUUCCCUUGGGAACUAUUGCUAUGAAUAUGGGACUCGCAAGUGGGGUACCGUGCUAAUAGCGAUCCCUAGGCCCAAGUACGCUCAAAUCCAUAUCUCCACGCCUUUUUGAAUGUUGUGGACUUAAAUGUGCUGUUAAAUUUUGUAUAUUUAUCUUGGGCCUUUAAUAACUUCUAAUUGAAGUGCCCCGGGGUUCAAUUUCAAGCGAUAGUUAAUUAGGUAAUUGUUCGACAGCCUACUAAUGUGUAAUUUCUCUGUUUAAAAUUUAUGCUGUGAUAAUUGUGAUUUGAUUGAAUUUUUGUGUAAUAUGUAGUGACUGUGGUUUGCAUUUGUUGUUCUGUGAGGGACUAUUGUAUUGACUUACCAGCUUCAACUUCAGCUCGAGUUAUUUAGGUACUUGUGUUAGUUACUUUAUGUUGUUUUGUAGUUUAUAGAAUGUUUAAUGUUGCGUAACGAGUCGGAUGAUUUGCGUUUUUUUUUUUUGUUGCGAGGACUAAUACUGUUGACUAUCGGGUUAAUUUCAAGCUCAAGGUAAUUAGGGUAUAGUAGUUAUGGCGUAUGUUGUACUUUGUCUUUUUCAAAUUAUGCUAAUUUGAAUUGUUGAGUUAAUGGAGUUGUGACUUAUUUUGCAUUUAUUUUGUUUAGUGAGGACUAUGCUAUUGGAAUAUUGUGACUCAAGGCGGUUUGGUACCGUGACUAAUAGCCGAUGCCUAGGCCAAGUAGUAACUCUCAAAUCCAUAUUCGCGCCUUUGAACUGUGCGUGGUACGUAAUUGUGGUUUUAAAUUUGAAUUUAUCUGGGCUUUAUAAACCUGAAAUUGAAGGUCCCCGGGGUUUAAUUUCAAGCUCAAGUUAAUUAGGUAUUAUUAGACAAGGACCCUUAUGUUGUACUUUGUCGUUUUUAAAAUUAUGUGAUUGAGUUUUUGUGUAUAUGUAGUGACUGUUUUGCAUUUGUCUGUUUUGCGAGGAUAUUGCUAUUGGACUACGGAUUCAUUCAACUUCAAGCUAGAGUUAUUUAGGGACUUUUGUUAGUACUUUAGGUGUUAUUUAGUUUUAUAGCAUGAUUUAACGUUUGAGUACGAGUACUGAUGCUUUCACUUUUUUGUUUUGCGAGGACUAAUACUGUUGACUAUCGGGUUUAAUUUCAAGCUCAAGUUAUUAGGGUAUUAGUAGUUAUGGCCGUAUGUUGUACUUUGUCUUUUUCAAAUUAUGCUAAUUUGAAUUUUUGAGUAAUGAGUUGUGACUAUUUUGCAUUUAUUUUGUUUAGUGAGGACUAUUGCUAUUGACUAUUGGACUCAAGUGGGUGUACCGUGCUAAUAGCGAUGCCUAGGCCCAAGUACUCUCAAAUCCAUAUCUCCGCGCCUUUGAAUGUUGUGGUACGUAAUUGUGGUUUUAAAUUUUGAAUAUUUAUCUUGGGCCUUAAUUAACCUGAAAUUGAAGGUCCCCGGGUUUAAUUUCAAGCUCAAGUUAAUUAGGUAUUAUUAGACAAGGCCUUAUGUUGUACUUUGUCUUUUUAAAAUUAUGCUGAUUUGAGUUUUUGUGUAAUAUGUAGUGACUGUUUUGCAUUUGUUCUGUUUUGCGAGGACUAUUGCUAUUGACUACCGGAUUCAACUUCAAGCUCGAGUUAUUUAGGUACUUUUUGUUAGUACUUUAUGUUGUUUUUUAUUUAUAGCAUGAUUUUAAUGUUUGAGUAACGAGUACUGACUGCUUUGCAUUUUUUUUGUUUUGCGAGGAGUAAUACUGUUGACUAUCGGGUUUAAUUUCAAGCUCAAGUUAUUAGGGUAUUAGUAGUUAUGGCCGUAUGUUGUACUUUGUCGUUUUCAAAUUAUGCUAAUUUGAAUUUAUUUUGUUUUGUGAGGACUAUUGCUAUUGAUUACCGGAUUCAACUUCAAGCUCGAGUUAUUUAGGUACUUUUUGUUAGUACUUUAUGUUGUUUUUUAUUUAUAGCAUGAUUUUAAUGUUUGAGUAACGAGUAGUGACUGCUUUGCAUUUUUUUUGUUUUGCGA
RNAcentral lists this long non-coding RNA (5673 nucleotides) under Actinidia chinensis (golden kiwifruit). Its description in RNAcentral is "long non-coding RNA (ACHI_LNC000348)". Lineage: Eukaryota; Viridiplantae; Streptophyta; Magnoliopsida; Ericales; Actinidiaceae. The record is from RNAcentral.